Non-coding RNA from Caerostris darwini, 91 nucleotides. NCBI's taxonomy places the organism in Eukaryota, Metazoa, Arthropoda, Arachnida, Araneae, Araneidae. The record is from the annotation of a GenBank genome assembly.
CGGCCGUACUAUAUGCUGAAUAUACCGAAUCUCGUUAGAUCACCGAAGUCAAGCAUCAUUGGGCGCGGUCAGUACUUGGGUGGGUGACCAC